UCCAAAUAUCUCCUCCAGGUCAGCAAAAGUUAAAAACAAACUGAACCAGCCCAACAAAAUAGAUCGAUCAAGAAGGGAUCUUCUCCUCACGCUCGAUGACCGCCGCCGCCAUGGCUACCCCAAGCCUUCUAUCUCAAUCAGCCAAUCAAAAUUGAUCAAUCAAGGCAAAUCAUGGUGUUCUGCGAGCAGCGGACGUUCAGAACCAUGGCACCACGUUUGGUACGCUGGCUACAAGACGUAUUGUUUGCCGAUGGCACCCGCAAGAAGGAUAAAAGCAUGGAUGCAUCUAGCUGCUUGCAUUGCUUAUUUAACUUAAUAUUGGGAGAUCCGUGGGAGAUAAGUUGCUGGGCUCUACUUGCCUUCACCUCCAGAAAUAUCAAGAGAGGCUGGGAGGCUAGCGGAGAAUUGCAUCGACGAUAUCGAUGGCAAUCAUCAAUCCAGUAUCCACGGCGCUUUCAACCAAGUCGCAGUGCCCUAAUGGUAGGCCACUGCCAUUUACAUGAAGGCUUAGGUAAGGCUAACAUGAUGAGAGUAUACCCGUAUGUCGCUACAUGGCAGACUGACUCAAUGAGAGGAACUCCGUCAUGGUUGGAGAGCAGAGAAUGUUAUGGCGUCCGAUUUCCAGGUUAGCAUAUCGAUGUUCAUGCUUUGGUUCUGCGCACUGCACAUCAGUGAUGGGCAGGAGCAGCCUAUGAUCGAGUCACAAGAAAAAGUCCCAAUACAGAUGUACGUCCAGCCUAUGCUAUUGUCUAAUUUGAGGAGAAAAACUUCUUUGAAAACUGAGACCGCUCAAGAUGGUAAUUAGUGGUAGUUCCAUUUUUUUUCUUUCUUACAAAAUAUGAUAUAAACUAUAUAAAACAAUUUAUAUCCCGAGAAAGUAAUACUACCAGAGGCCUAGCGGUCUGGACAUCAGGGGCAUGAGACAACCUGGGAUUGUUCAGGGCAGCGCUGCUGGACACGUUGGUCCGCAAGCCAAACCUGUCGCUGUCCAGUUCAAUAGACUAGGAAAAUCAGGACCUUCAU
Long non-coding RNA from Triticum aestivum (bread wheat), 1023 nucleotides. RefSeq lists it as uncharacterized. The transcript has 4 exons. The record is from RefSeq and is a predicted model, not a curated record. NCBI's taxonomy places the organism in Eukaryota, Viridiplantae, Streptophyta, Magnoliopsida, Poales, Poaceae.